RNAcentral lists this ribosomal RNA (1062 nucleotides) under Triticum aestivum (bread wheat). Its description in RNAcentral is "partial small subunit ribosomal RNA". The record is from RNAcentral. Lineage: Eukaryota; Viridiplantae; Streptophyta; Magnoliopsida; Poales; Poaceae.
AUGGAGCUGAGGGAGAUGGCCGCGGCGGCGGCGGCGGCUGCGUCGGCGGGAGGAGGAGGAGGAGGCGGCGGCGGCGGCGGGGGCGGGGGCGGCAGGCUGCCGCCGCCCAACCCCAACCUGCCCUACCGCGAGGACUGCUGGAGCGAGGGCGAGACGGCGGCGCUCGUCGGCGCCUGGGGCAGCCGCUACGUCGACCUCAACCGCGGCAACCUGCGCCAGAAGCAGUGGCAGGAGGUCGCCGGCGCCGUCAACUCGCGCCGCGGGGCCGCCGCGCGCCGCCGCCCGCCGCGCACCGACGUCCAGUGCAAGAACCGCGUCGACACGCUCAAGAAGAAGUACAAAGCGGAGCGCGCCCGCGGCGGGCCCUCCGCCUGGAACUUCUACGGCGAGCUCGACCGCCUCGUCGGCCCCACCCUCGCCGCCGCCGCCGCCACCAAGAAGCACCCCUCCUCCGGGCCGCCGGGCCCUCACUUCGCCCUGCCUCUCCACCCUUCCGCCGCCAGGAGGCACCCGUCGCCCUCCUCUUCGCCGUCCCCGCCUCCGCCCAUGGCUCUGCCGCUGCCCAACUACCGCCGCGGGGCGCCGCUCCCUGCCGCCGCGUUUAUCCAGCAGGCCGCCGCCGCCGCUGCCGCGAUUUCUGAUUCAGACGACUCCGGUGAUCUCGGUGACAACAACAGCAACAACUCGCGGCGGUCACCGUCCCGCUCCGUUUCAUCGCACUCCGGUGGUAACAACAAGCGCCGCCGCCGCAGCGAAAGCAGCAGUGGUGGCGAUGGUGGUGUCGGCGAGCUGGCGAGGGCGAUCGAGGCAUUUGCAGAGAUGUACGAGCGCGUCGAGAGUGCCAAGCAGAAGCAGUCCCUGGAGAUGGAGCGAGAAAGGAUCAACUUCAUGAAGCAGCUGGAGGUGAAGCGCAUGGAGAACUUCGUCGAAGCACAUGUGAAGCUCGCAAGAAUGAAGCAUGCCAAGAAGAAUGGAGGUUCUGCAGCCAAUGGUACCAUUGGAGUGGAGCUGGCUUCCUCCGUGGCUGCGCUGCCUUUCCUCUCCAACCCUGCAUACCUCUGA